CCCGGCACAAGCGGUGGAGCAUGUGGUUUUAAUUCGAAGCAACGCGCAGAACCUUACCAGCCCUUGACAUGGGACGUAUGUUGGCCAGAGAUGGCCUCUUGUCUUCGGACGCGUCCGCACAGGUGCUGCAUGGCUGUCGUCAGCUCGUGUCGUGAGAUGUUGGGUUAAGUCCCGCAACGAGCGCAACCCUCAUCUUCAGUUGCCAUCAGUUCGGCUGGGCACUCUGAAGAAACUGCCGGUGACAAGCCGGAGGAAGGUGGGGAUGACGUCAAGUCCUCAUGGCCCUUACGGGCUGGGCUACACACGUGCUACAAUGGUGGUGACAAUGGGCAGCAAACCCGCGAGGGGGAGCUAAUCUCCAAAAGCCAUCUCAGUUCGGAUUGCACUCUGCAACUCGAGUGCAUGAAGUCGGAAUCGCUAGUAAUCGUGGAUCAGCACGCCACGGUGAAUACGUUCCCGGGCCUU
RNAcentral lists this ribosomal RNA (465 nucleotides) under uncultured Rhodospirillaceae bacterium. Its description in RNAcentral is "bacterial SSU rRNA". It matches the Rfam family "Bacterial small subunit ribosomal RNA", at positions 920 to 1382 of the family's 1533-position model. The record is from RNAcentral. Lineage: Bacteria; Pseudomonadati; Pseudomonadota; Alphaproteobacteria; Rhodospirillales; Rhodospirillaceae.